GCCACGUUAACACGUCCAAGGAGUUUGUUAAUUGGACCAUCGAGAGGAGCGACCGCCGCAGUUGCCUAACGAUGCUGCAGACGCAUUACUAUCAAUUAAAAGGGCAAUAAUGUUCCUGCAAGUUCGGCGACGCCGUCCGUUCGGCCAUCGCAGCACCCUGUUUAAGGUACUCGAACUGCACAGAGAGAACGGAGCGGAGUUAAUCCUUUGUGCAGGACCUUAGCCGGCGCUCCGCGUUGAAUUUGGGUAGGUAUGCUAAUUUCCUUAGUGCUUCAAGCCGUUCAUAACGUAGUUAGGAGCCGGGGUGGGAGAACCGGAGGCAAGGAGCGCCCCAAAGAGAUAUCCUAGGUGAGAGCAGCCCCGAAGGCGCAAAACUCAUUCCAAAGAGUCCGAAGGUGCUCGAAGAAAAGAGGCUAACAAACUCGGCAAUCCUCGAAGCAGACGGGAGGAAAUUAAUUCUCUGUUUUCAAGAGGCUCGCGUAAUCACCGCGACAAAUUGAAGGAUUGCCGCUGCUGCUGCUGCUGCUGCUGCUGUGGUUAAACACCCGAGCCGGCAAAAAGUGUAGGAUGUGAAUAAAAAACGAUGUGCUAUCCGCUCCGUACCUUCGGGGGACAGGAAACUGGACUCCAUGGAUCUGCAGGAAUAUCGAGGACCUCGAUGGAUCCGCAUAACUAUCGACGAUUGUCGAUGACGGACGAGCUGAAACAAGGGGACCAUCAAAAAGUAAUACAACGACGGAGUUUCGGAUUGAGACAGUAAUAUCAGGUCGUGAUAUAUACCGAGAUGUUUGCAUCGAAGCGAGGAGAGUAGUAUUUGCUUUGACACCUUUCUCCGGGGGAAGUUGGAAGCCUCUGGGGGAUUUCUGGCGUAUCCGAAGGACCCUCCAUCCAUCCCUCCUCGAAGAGUCGUCGUCGUCGUCGUCGUCGUCUGGUGGAAGAGCUAACAAACUUAUCCCGAAGGCAGCGGGGCGCACCGUGGCAAACUCACUUUCUUCUUCCUCUCUUCUCUUCUGUCUGCUCUAAGGAAUCGCUUCGCGCGAUGCGCAGAUUUGCGAUAUCGAGAAGUGAGCAGCCCCUCGAUUCGGUAAAGCACUCGUAAUUGCGAGGCUUGAUCACCGCGGCUCAGGAACCUCCGUUGCACCGUGCAUAAAAUCCCCUCGAUGCAGGCGCAGGGGGUGAAA
This is a long non-coding RNA of Neodiprion fabricii, 1181 nucleotides long. RefSeq lists it as uncharacterized. The transcript has 5 exons. NCBI's taxonomy places the organism in Eukaryota, Metazoa, Arthropoda, Insecta, Hymenoptera, Diprionidae. The record is from RefSeq and is a predicted model, not a curated record.